CCUACGGGUGGCAGCAGUGAGGAAUAUUGGUCAAUGGGCGCGAGCCUGAACCAGCCAAGUAGCGUGAAGGAUGACUGCCCUACGGGUUGUAAACUUCUUUUAUAAAGGAAUAAAGUGCGGCACGUGUGCCUUUUUGUAUGGACUUUAUGAAUAAGGAUCGGCUAACUCCGUGCCAGCAGCCGCGGUAAUCCGGAGGAUCCGGGCGUUAUCCGGAUUUAUGGGGUUUAAAGGGAGCGUAGAUGGGUUGUUAAGUCAGUUGUGAAAGUUUGCGGCUCAACCGUAAAAUUGCAAUUGAUACUGGAAGUCGUGAGUACAGUUGAGGGAGGCGGAAUUCGUGGUGUAGCGGUGAAAUGCUUAGAGAUCACGAAGAACUCCGAUUGCGAAGGCAGCUGACUAAACGGCAACUGACAUUGAUGCUCGAAAGUGUGGGUAUCAAACAGGAUUAGAUACCCCAGUAGU
RNAcentral lists this ribosomal RNA (459 nucleotides) under uncultured bacterium. RNAcentral's name for it is "partial 16S ribosomal RNA". It matches the Rfam family "Bacterial small subunit ribosomal RNA", at positions 338 to 794 of the family's 1533-position model. The record is from RNAcentral.